Lotus japonicus is the source of this 1499-nucleotide long non-coding RNA. RefSeq lists it as uncharacterized. The transcript has 4 exons. The record is from RefSeq and is a predicted model, not a curated record. NCBI's taxonomy places the organism in Eukaryota, Viridiplantae, Streptophyta, Magnoliopsida, Fabales, Fabaceae.
UUUUUUUUGGGUAACUGCUAUUUUCAUUUCAAAGAUGGUGGGCCUUAUCUUAUGCAAAAUUCAAGUUUUGGCCCCAAUUAAAAUACAUCAUCACCCUAACCGAUUGACGUCUUUUGCUGCUGCUUCUUCCUCUUCGUCAUCACCUUCGUCCUCCUACCCUCACAGAUGUGUUCAGUGGCCAUGGCAGUCCUAAAGUUUGCGUCAGUGGUGCAGAGUGACGUUUUUUGCUUGACUUCUUCUGCAGGAGUCUCAAAGAAAGGGCAUCAUAUAUACAACCUCCAUUCUUCAAUUUUGUGGAUGCUCGAUGGUCAUCAUCUGACCUCAUGGUGCCAGAUAUGACGAAAUCACCGGCCAGAACUACAACUCUACCUGGUUGUUAUCAUCUUACCUCAUGCUGCCAAAACCAAUUGUUAAAUUUUCUUUAUAGAUUGUUGCCCGUAAGCAACAAAUUUCUCCUAUAAAUUCACUCACCUUGGUAUGCCUGUUGUUGUGCACUUUCAGAUUUCAGAUUUCAGAUUUCAUAUGAUCUGAACUUUUCUUUAAUUUAGAAACCUGUUAUUCCAAAUUGGUGAGAACCCAAGAUUCAGUUUUUCUUUAGAGUUGGUGCAAACUGAAAAGAAGUUCUUCUAUUUUUACUAAUAUUAUCUCCCUUUCUUCCGAUUUUUUACUGAUUUCAAUUUUUCCAUAUUUUUUCUUUGAUUUUUCUAUGAUUCCAUGAUGUUUGGUUCAAUAAAAGCAUGGAGGGUGCUUGUGAAGUUUGGAGCUGAAAUUCAAAUUGUAAAGGGCAGUCUCAACUGAAGGAACAAAACUUGAUGGUGCUCCAAUGAGGAAAAGAUCUAUUGAUUGUCUAAGAGAGCAUGUUUAGACUUGAUGUCCAGAUUAUAACAGAAGAAAUAGACUUGAUAGCCGAAAGGUGCAUUGUUGCUCAUGAUAGUGGGAGAGAAUUUGUCACCAACUUGGUUGGAAGUGCAAUGCCCGGUGGUAAAAGCCCAAGAGGGAAAGCAUGGUGUCUAAACAAUGCAAACAUGGGAUUCCAGCUGAGGUUGCAUCAUUUGUUUGUAAGAAUGGGAAAGCUACAUGGAUCUUAAUUGGUCCAUCUGGAAAAAAGACAGUUUCAGAUACUUGCACCUGAAAAACCCAAGAAAGUGGUAAAAAAGUUUACAUCAUUUUUUUAUUAUGGGUGUUGCAUGAUGUUUUUGGGGGUGAUUAUGUAAUCUUCAAUACAUUUUGUAUCACAGGGCAGUGGUAGACUUAUAUGAAUUUGUCUAUAGGCAUAGAUGGAGUUUUUUGCACUGGAUCGGAUGUGUUUCUCUGCACAAAUAAUGGUGUAGGGCUGCCAUAUAUUUUAAUUAACUGAUAUUGGUUUCAAUAAAUGUACACAACUUGAAACUUCAAGCCAAUCAAGGGCUUUAUGCCUUCCGUUACCAUUUGACAUUUAGUUUUAAUUCUAUAAAUUGUAAGAGUUGAAUAAAACCAUCACCUUGGGUAUGAUAUUCCCU